AAUUCAUGAUGGAGCACGCGAGUGGGGCGAGAGACUUAAUAAUAAUAAUAAUUAUUAUUAUUAUUAAGUCUCUCGCCCCACUCGCGUGCUCCAUCA
Molecule: microRNA precursor, 96 nt
Filed under: Oryza brachyantha (malo sina)
Lineage: Eukaryota; Viridiplantae; Streptophyta; Magnoliopsida; Poales; Poaceae
Description: pre miRNA mir-598
Source: RNAcentral